Molecule: non-coding RNA, 31 nt
Filed under: Homo sapiens (human)
Lineage: Eukaryota; Metazoa; Chordata; Mammalia; Primates; Hominidae
Source: RNAcentral
UCCACGGAGAAGUGCUAAACCCCAAAGGGUA